GAUUUUGAUGGAAAUAUUCAGACAGACCUCCACCCCUUUGAAAUCUUGUCGACUAGUUUGCCAAUUUUGGAACGAAAUCGCCCUCUCCCUUCCAAACACAAGACUUCAGUUGAACCUGUACAAACUGUAUGGCCUAAACGAGGACCACUUUUCACUUAUCCAAUUAUCGUUCUCAUUAGAUAGCCUGCUUGCGAAACGGAUCAGCGCCACGUGUAAAUACUACGCCACACGCAUAGACCCGUUCGUCUGUAGGCUGACAUGCUUUGAAGACUGCGUUUCCGAAUUUGAUGAGGUUACGUGUGGAUACAUGUAGCAUGACGGACGACCGCGGGGAGGAGAGUGGGAUGAAGUUGGGCGUGGUGCUUAAGGCGUGUGGGGGUUGGGGAGGGUUGAAAUGUAUGGAGUUGUCGUUGGCGAUUUAUCCACAAGAAAUUAUGGAUGUCAUUCAGGGUCUGUUGGAAGGACGGGAAUUGUACAAAGGGCUGAAAACUCUGGAAAUUUUGGGAUACAAAGGCUAUUAUGAACACAAUUUGAAACAGGACCAGUUGGAUCUGAUGAAGUAAUUGCUACUCGCGAUGAAUGUCAUGGACGACGUUAUCAUUUCAUGUCUUCGCGUUAGAGAAGAAUCUGAGAGGAAUAUAUUCAAUAUAAUGGUGUCAAACAACUUGGAUGUCUCGAAGUUUAGGAUUUUUUAUGGGAAACCGGCCCGUCUUGGGAGCGAUUAAUUACAAUUUGGAUUUUAUGCUAAGAUUCGACGAAUCGGCGACAUCAAUAAGGGAUCACAACUUAAAAAUGCAAAUAUGUUGACAAAGUUCUUAGGUUUACGAAAAGUUUCUAGCUAUGAAUUAACAGUUUUGUUUCUUAAUACAUACGUGUGCAUAGUUAAAUUAUGCGUUUAAUAUUCCAGAAAAAAAUCAAGGGUAAUUAUUUGUAGAUAGUUAAAUGCUGCUUAUUUUUAUGUAUAUGUUCCGUAAAAAUUUACUAAAUAUGAGAAUUCCUGGAAACAUUAAAAAUUUCUGAAAAUUGUUCGAAAAUUUCAUAAUAAUACUCGAGACUUCCUGGAAACUUUCCCCUCUUUCCG
Molecule: long non-coding RNA, 1081 nt
Organism: Folsomia candida
Lineage: Eukaryota; Metazoa; Arthropoda; Collembola; Entomobryomorpha; Isotomidae
Exons: 3
Source: RefSeq, a predicted model, not a curated record